CUCUUCUCUGCUGCCGUCUGAGGUGCGCGUUUCACCUUCCGCCGUGAUUGUGAGGCCUCCCCAGCCACGUGGAACUGUGAGUCCAUUAAACCUCUUUCUUUUGUAAAUUGCCCCGUCUGAGGUAUGUCUUUAUGAGCAGCGUGAAAAUGGACUGACACGCAGACUCUCUGCAGAGUCCCGAGACGGCACGGAGGAUCACACGGGGAGGGGUCGAGUGUGCUAACUCAGGUCUCUCUUCCUCUUCUAAUAAAUCCACCCGUCCCGCUCCUGCGCUAACCCAUUAAUCCAUUAAUCUGUGAAUGGAUUCAUCUAUUCACGAGGGCACUGCCCUCCUGACCCGAUCACCUCUUAAAGGCCAACUCUCAAUCCUGCCACACUGGGAAUUAAGUUUCAACAUGAGUUUCGGAGGAGAUAAACAUUCAAAUCAUAGCCGAAAUCCAAAGAGAUUUGAGGAGCAGAAGUUGAUUCAAAGGUUAGCAAAGGCCCAUAUUGAUUGUUUCAGAGAAUAAUCAAUCAGAAAGUUAAGCAACGCAUCGCCAGAGCUGUGAGGAACAGACGAAGAAUUUCAAAAAGGCUUUAGGAUGAUAAAGACGCCUGGGCAGCUUUCUAAUGCUGUAUGCAAUGCCGUCCUGCAAACGUGUUUGGAUCUGCCUGCCGUCAAGACUCACCACUUCCCACCUGUACACUGCUGUCUGUCCUCAUUUCAAGUGAAUCACCUUGCGGUCUUCUUAUGCCAGGUUCAGAGCUCAUGCCAGACGCUGUGGAAGGAUUGUUUUUUGACUCUCUAAUACUGUGGAAGAAAAAGAGAUCUUCCAGAUAUCAGAGUUCUCCUGACAGCUGAAGAAGUGAUGGAUGAGCUGGGGUCUCAAUUCAUCAGAACAUCAAGCAGGAAGAGCAGCCCUCCAACCCCCCACCAGUUCAGAAAUGGAGACAUCGAGGAGUCCUGAGCACAGGCAGGAGAGACUAUGAAGUUAUCGUAGACUCGAUGUCCACAAGUGCCGAUAUGCAAAAUGUUACCCUUGGAGGAAACAGAAUGACGAGUACGUGGGACUUCUCUGUACUUUUUUUCUUCAAUUUCCUAUAAACAGAAUUAUUUCAAAAUAAA
Molecule: long non-coding RNA, 1105 nt
Filed under: Homo sapiens (human)
Lineage: Eukaryota; Metazoa; Chordata; Mammalia; Primates; Hominidae
Description: HSALNT0339028
Source: RNAcentral